GCCCGGAUGGCGGAAUGGUAGACGCGGCGGCCUCAAAAGCCGCUGUCUGAAAGGGCGUGCGGGUUCGAGUCCCGCUCCGGGCA
RNAcentral lists this transfer RNA (83 nucleotides) under Acidimicrobiales bacterium. RNAcentral describes it as "tRNA-Leu". It matches the Rfam family "tRNA". Rfam says of the family: Transfer RNA (tRNA) molecules are approximately 80 nucleotides in length. Their secondary structure includes four short double-helical elements and three loops (D, anti-codon, and T loops). Further hydrogen bonds mediate the characteristic L-shaped molecular structure. tRNAs have two regions of fundamental functional importance: the anti-codon, which is responsible for specific mRNA codon recognition, and the 3' end, to which the tRNAs corresponding amino acid is attached (by aminoacyl-tRNA synthetases). tRNAs cope with the degeneracy of the genetic code in two manners: having more than one tRNA (with a specific anti-codon) for a particular amino acid; and 'wobble' base-pairing, i.e. permitting non-standard base-pairing at the 3rd anti-codon position. The record is from RNAcentral. RNAcentral also lists the same sequence under 2 other names. Lineage: Bacteria; Bacillati; Actinomycetota; Acidimicrobiia; Acidimicrobiales.